RNAcentral lists this ribosomal RNA (429 nucleotides) under bacterium. RNAcentral's name for it is "partial 16S ribosomal RNA". It matches the Rfam family "Bacterial small subunit ribosomal RNA", at positions 355 to 776 of the family's 1533-position model. The record is from RNAcentral.
UAGGGAAUCUUCGGCAAUGGGGGCAACCCUAACCGAGCAACGCCGCGUGAGUGAAGAAGGUUUUCGGAUCGUAAAGCUCUGUUGUAAGAGAAGAACGUGUGUGAGAGUGGAAAGUUCACACAGUGACGGUAACUUACCAGAAAGGGACGGCUAACUACGUGCCAGCAGCCGCGGUAAUACGUAGGUCCCGAGCGUUGUCCGGAUUUAUUGGGCGUAAAGCGAGCGCAGGCGGUUUAAUAAGUCUGAAGUUAAAGGCAGUGGCUUAACCAUUGUUCGCUUUGGAAACUGUUAAACUUGAGUGCAGAAGGGGAGAGUGGAAUUCCAUGUGUAGCGGUGAAAUGCGUAGAUAUAUGGAGGAACACCGGUGGCGAAAGCGGCUCUCUGGUCUGUAACUGACGCUGAGGCUCGAAAGCGUGGGGAGCAAACAGG